This 378-nucleotide long non-coding RNA is filed under the name Zea mays. Its description in RNAcentral is "long non-coding RNA (ZMAY_LNC001123)". The record is from RNAcentral. Lineage: Eukaryota; Viridiplantae; Streptophyta; Magnoliopsida; Poales; Poaceae.
AAGACAAACAAAAGUAAUACUACUGUUUAGCUAGAUGCAACUUUUGCCCGGCAAGCACAUACAUACACUACACACGACUAGGUAAUGACACACAUGCUAACAACAGGCAUCUAUACGUACCGAUCGACACGACGACACACACAUAAUAGACAUGCACGACGACAUGGUACAUGCAUGCACAGACGACGACGACAAGAACAUUUUAAUUAGUACGAACACACACACUCUAGAUAGGUACGGUGACAAGAUGAGAGAGAGAAAGAGACACGUACGUACGGGCCCCUGCCUGCACCCUGCUGCAGAUGCACACACAGACACGUACAGCUAGCAAUGCCGGGGGCCUUCCUGCUUGGCUUGGCUUGGCUAGCACACUGCUAG